AGUGAACGCUGGCGGUAGGCCUAACACAUGCAAGUCGAACGGCAGCACAGUAAGAGCUUGCUCUUACGGGUGGCGAGUGGCGGACGGGUGAGGAAUACAUCGGAAUCUACUUUUUCGUGGGGGAUAACGUAGGGAAACUUACGCUAAUACCGCAUACGACCUACGGGUGAAAGCAGGGGAUCUUCGGACCUUGCGCGAUUGAAUGAGCCGAUGUCGGAUUAGCUAGUUGGCGGGGUAAAGGCCCACCAAGGCGACGAUCCGUAGCUGGUCUGAGAGGAUGAUCAGCCACACUGGAACUGAGACACGGUCCAGACUCCUACGGGAGGCAGCAGUGGGGAAUAUUGGACAAUGGGCGCAAGCCUGAUGCAGCAAUGCCGCGUGAGUGAAGAAGGCCUUCGGGUUGUAAAGCCCUUUUGUUAGGAAAGAAAAGAAGCAGGUUAAUACCCCGAUGUUCUGACGGUACCCAAAGAAUAAGCACCGGCUAACUUCGUG
RNAcentral lists this ribosomal RNA (492 nucleotides) under uncultured bacterium. RNAcentral's name for it is "partial 16S ribosomal RNA". It matches the Rfam family "Bacterial small subunit ribosomal RNA", at positions 29 to 507 of the family's 1533-position model. The record is from RNAcentral.